AGCGAACGCUGGCGGCAGGCCUAACACAUGCAAGUCGAACGGAUCCUUCGGGAUUAGUGGCGGACGGGUGAGUAACACGUGGGAACGUGUCCUUUGGUUCGGAACAACUCAGGGAAACUUGAGCUAAUACCGGAUGUGCCCUUCGGGGGAAAGAUUUAUCGCCAUUGGAGCGGCCCGCGUCUGAUUAGCUAGUUGGUGAGGUAACGGCCCACCAAGGCGACGAUCAGUAGCUGGUCUGAGAGGAUGAUCAGCCACACUGGGACUGAGACACGGCCCAGACUCCUACGGGAGGCAGCAGUGGGGAAUCUUGCGCAAUGGGCGAAAGCCUGACGCAGCCAUGCCGCGUGAAUGAUGAGGGUCUUAGGAUUGUAAAAUUCUUUCAGCGGGGACGAUAAUGACGGUACCCGCAGAAGAAGCUCCGGCUAACUUCGUG
RNAcentral lists this ribosomal RNA (433 nucleotides) under uncultured bacterium. Its description in RNAcentral is "partial 16S ribosomal RNA". It matches the Rfam family "Bacterial small subunit ribosomal RNA", at positions 29 to 507 of the family's 1533-position model. The record is from RNAcentral.